GACGAACCGUGCGAACGUUGUUCGGAAUCACUGGGCGUAAAGGGCGCGUAGGCGGCCUGAUAAGUCGGGGGUGAAAGCCUGUGGCUCAACCACAGAAUUGCCUUCGAUACUGUUAGGCUUGAGACCGGAAGAGGUAAGUGGAACUGCGAGUGUAGAGGUGAAAUUCGUAGAUAUUCGCAAGAACACCAGUGGCGAAGGCGGCUUACUGGUCCGGUUCUGACGCUGAGGCGCGAAAGCGUGGGGAGCAAACAGG
Molecule: ribosomal RNA, 253 nt
Filed under: uncultured bacterium
Lineage: Bacteria
Description: partial 16S ribosomal RNA
Rfam family: Bacterial small subunit ribosomal RNA
Source: RNAcentral